CCUACGGGUGGCAGCAGUGAGGAAUAUUGGUCAAUGGGCGGAAGCCUGAACCAGCCAAGUAGCGUGCAGGAUGACGGCCCUACGGGUUGUAAACUGCUUUUAUACGGGAAUAACGCGCCUUACGUGUAGGGCUUUUCAUGUACCGUAUGAAUAAGGACCGGCUAAUUCCGUGCCAGCAGCCGCGGUAAUACGGAGGAUGCGAGCGUUAUCCGGAUUUAUUGGGUUUAAAGGGUGCGUAGGCGGAAUGCCAAGUCAGCGGUAAAAUCGCGGGGCUCAACCUCGCUCCGCCGUUGAAACUGGCGUUCUUGAGUGGGCGAGAAGUAUGCGGAAUGCGUGGUGUAGCGGUGAAAUGCAUAGAUAUCACGCAGAACUCCGAUUGCGAAGGCAGCAUACCGGCGCCCAACUGACGCUGAAGCACGAAAGCGUGGGUAUCGAACAGGAUUAGAUACCCUUGUAGUC
RNAcentral lists this ribosomal RNA (459 nucleotides) under uncultured bacterium. RNAcentral's name for it is "partial 16S ribosomal RNA". It matches the Rfam family "Bacterial small subunit ribosomal RNA", at positions 338 to 795 of the family's 1533-position model. The record is from RNAcentral.